This 468-nucleotide ribosomal RNA is filed under the name uncultured bacterium. Its description in RNAcentral is "partial 16S ribosomal RNA". It matches the Rfam family "Bacterial small subunit ribosomal RNA", at positions 28 to 507 of the family's 1533-position model. The record is from RNAcentral.
GACGAACGCUGGCGGCGUGCUUAACACAUGCAAGUCGAACGGAAAGGCCCUGCUUUUGUGGGGUGCUCGAGUGGCGAACGGGUGAGUAACACGUGAGUAACCUGCCCUUGACUUUGGGAUAACUUCAGGAAACUGGGGCUAAUACCGGAUAGGAGCUCCUGCUGCAUGGUGGGGGUUGGAAAGUUUCGGCGGUUGGGGAUGGACUCGCGGCUUAUCAGCUUGUUGGUGGGGUAGUGGCUUACCAAGGCUUUGACGGGUAGCCGGCCUGGGAGGGUGACCGGCCACAUUGGGACUGCGAUACGGCCCAGACUCCUACGUGAGGCAGCAGUCGGGAAUAUUGCACAAUGGGCCGAAGCCUGAUGCAGCAACGCCGCGUGCGUGAUGACGGCCUUCGGGUUGUAAACCGCUUUCGCCUGUGACGAAGCGUGAUUGACGGUAAUGGGUAAAGAAGCACCGGCUAACUACGUG